Molecule: ribosomal RNA, 282 nt
Filed under: uncultured bacterium
Lineage: Bacteria
Description: partial 16S ribosomal RNA
Rfam family: Bacterial small subunit ribosomal RNA
Source: RNAcentral
UUGAUCCUACGGGGGGCAGCAGAGGGGAAUAUUGCACAAUGGGGGAAACCCUGAUGCAGCGACGCCGCGUGAGUGAAGAAGUAUUUCGGUAUGUAAAGCUCUAUCAGCAGGGAAGAAAAUGACGGUACCUGACUAAGAAGCCCCGGCUAACUACGUGCCAGCAGCCGCGGUAAUACGUAGGGGGCAAGCGUUAUCCGGAUUUACUGGGUGUAAAGGGAGCGUAGACGGCGAUGCAAGUCUGAAGUGAGAGGCGGGGGCCCCACCCCCGGGCUGCUUUGGGAA